AGGGUUUGAUUAUGGCUCAGAUUGAACGCUGGCGGUAGGCUUAACACAUGCAAGUCGUGCGAGAAAGUAUCUUCGGAUAUGAGUAGAGCGGCGGACGGGUGAGUAACGCGUAGGAAUCUACCUAGUAGAAGGGGAUAGCCCGAGGAAACUCGGAUUAAUACCGUAUACCUCCUUAGGGAGAAAGAGGGCCUCUCUUGAAGCUCUCGCUAUUAGAUGAGCCUGCGUAAGAUUAGCUUGUUGGUGAGGUAAUGGCUCACCAAGGCUACGAUCUUUAGCUGGUCUGAGAGGACGAUCAGCCACAUUGGGACUGAGACACGGCCCAGACUCCUACGGGAGGCAGCAGUGGGGAAUAUUGGACAAUGGGCGCAAGCCUGAUCCGGCCAUGCCGCGUGCAGGAAGACGGCCCUAUGGGUUGUAAACUGCUUUUAUACAGGAAGAAUUGUACCUACGUGUAGGUAUUUGACGGUACUGUACGAAUAAGGAUCGGCUAACUCCGUGCCAGCCGCCGCGGUAAUAC
This 517-nucleotide ribosomal RNA is filed under the name uncultured bacterium. RNAcentral's name for it is "bacterial SSU rRNA". It matches the Rfam family "Bacterial small subunit ribosomal RNA", at positions 8 to 526 of the family's 1533-position model. The record is from RNAcentral.